This is a long non-coding RNA of Bubalus bubalis (water buffalo), 1737 nucleotides long. RefSeq lists it as uncharacterized. The record is from RefSeq and is a predicted model, not a curated record. NCBI's taxonomy places the organism in Eukaryota, Metazoa, Chordata, Mammalia, Artiodactyla, Bovidae. The transcript is spliced from 2 exons.
GCUUCCGCGGACUACCGUAAAGAGGCGGCCGCGGAGGAGGUGAAAGCGACUUGACACCACUCUUCUCGCUAGUUCCUCUGCAGCGACAACGCCGCCGCAGCCAAUUGCACUCUCCCCUCACCGACGACUGGGGUCCUCGGGCCCCGCGGGAAGUAGCGCCGUCUGCGCGGAGGGAAACGGCGCGUGGUGAAGCGUCCGGCAACGUGACGCGUCCGCGGAAACGCGGCUCCUCCGCGCCCUUGCGCGCCCCCAGUCCGCGGCCCCGCCCCUACUCGUAGCCAGACCAGGCAGCUCUGGAGGCCGGCGGCCUGGGUACGGUAGGAUGGAGUACUCUCCAUGGCUCCGGCCUCGAGGGCGGCCCGGCAAGGCCUCCGUCCCGGGGCGUUUGUCUGGCCCGCGGCUGUAUACGGCCAGACCCACCGUUCCCCUCUCCAGCCGCAGGUGCCGCAGAUCGGGCUCCCGACCGGGGCAAACGUAAUAAUCUGACUAGCCGGUGUCGACCCCGCUCCUCCUCCCCGGGCUCCCCAGCCGGGCGCCCCUAGCCUCGGGUUACUCUGCUGUAAAGCAGGGUAGUUGUGAGGGUUCCAAACGGCGAAUGCAGGCAGCAGGUCCCAGUGUGGCUGUCUGGAAGCUGUACUUUCUCCUCAAGUUGUUUUCAGCUUAGCGAAGCAUUGCUUUUCAUUGCCUUUCACCUCACCCUUGCUGCCCAGGGGGUCGUACCUCCUAAUAAAAUCUUAGCACUUAAACUUGGCUUGAGGCUCUGCUUUCUAGAUAAUCCUUUAGCAUCCUUUGGGCUUUCAGUCUGUACUUGACUAAAAUUUUCACAGCCAUAAUAGCAAACAACAUUAGGAUUAUUUUUGACUCUGACGUACUCUCCUGUUAGCCCUGAACUGCUUUACAAGGUAAUCGGUUGAAACCAAUACUAAAUACAUAAAUUUAUGUAUACUUGCUUUUGUGUUAGUAGAGAUAAAAAAAAUUUUUUUCCACUUAAUGGUGUUUUCUCUCAAGAGUAAAUUCCUAGAGCACAGGCACUUGUAUGUUUUAAACAUUUGGAAGCUUAAAAAACCUGAGAUGCAAAUAAGUGCAAAAGGAAAAAACUGCUUUUCAAUCAUGAUCAUAAAGCUGUCAGCUGGGAAGGGUGGUCUAAUUAUAUUUUUUCAGUUCAUUCAUAAAACUAUGUUCUAUCUUUCCUAAAACCUAAUUAUUAGGGAAGGAUAUGUUAAACCCAUUUUAGCAACGUCUUCUGGUCCAGAAUGCAGUGCAAGACAGUUUUUUUCUUUGCACUACUUUAAAUAUGGAAGACUUGAGUACGUUUGUAUUUUUAAUGAUAACAGCCACUGGCUUUGUGGCCUCCUGUUAACUGUAGGUUUGUCAGCCCUUUCUCUUCCCUCCCACUUGGCUUGCUAACCAUCUGUAACUUGAGCAACAGUAAUUUGAGAUGAGACUGGCCAGGGUCAUAUGUUAAAUAGGACAUUUCCACUUUCUUGACCACAAAAUCCUCCCUUUCCUGGCCACUUAAACACUGUUACAUAAUUCUACAAACAUGUGGAUCUGAUGAAGAUCUACAUAUGUUGGCAAAGGUCACACCUGCAAAUCUACCUUACUAUCAGCAAAUUUUUUUUUUUUUUUUUACUAAAGACAUUGUGUAUAAUCCGGUGUUUCAUAGCAUGUAAAAAUUAUUUUUAAGAACAUGUUCUCUCUUAUCUACAUCAUUGAUUUUUGCAGGGAAAACUUUGU